UUAUUGGAGAGUUUGAUCCUGGCUCAGGACGAACGCUGGCGGCGUGCCUAACACAUGCAAGUCGAACGGAGAAUUUUAUUUCGG
This 84-nucleotide ribosomal RNA is filed under the name Phascolarctobacterium sp. RNAcentral's name for it is "partial 16S ribosomal RNA". It matches the Rfam family "Bacterial small subunit ribosomal RNA", at positions 1 to 83 of the family's 1533-position model. The record is from RNAcentral. Lineage: Bacteria; Bacillati; Bacillota; Negativicutes; Acidaminococcales; Acidaminococcaceae.